AAGACCUUGCGCUUUUGGAGCGGCCGAUGCCUGAUUAGCUUGUUGGUAAGGUAAAAGCUUACCAAGGCUUCGAUCAGUAGCUGGUCUGAGAGGACGGCCAGCCACACUGGGACUGAGACACGGCCCAGACUCCUACGGGAGGCAGCAGUGGGGAAUUUUGGACAAUGGGCGCAAGCCUGAUCCAGCCAUGCCGCGUGAGUGAAGAAGGCCUUCGGGUUGUAAAGCUCUUUCAGCCGGGAAGAAAAGGUUGCGAUUAAUAAUCGCAAUUUAUGACGGUACCGGAAGAAGAAGCACCGGCUAACUACGUGCCAGCAGCCGCGGUAAUACGUAGGGUGCGAGCGUUAAUCGGAAUUACUGGGCGUAAAGGGUGCGCAGGCGGUUUUGUAAGUCAGAUGUGAAAUCCCCGGGCUUAACCUGGGAACU
This 423-nucleotide ribosomal RNA is filed under the name uncultured bacterium. RNAcentral's name for it is "bacterial SSU rRNA". It matches the Rfam family "Bacterial small subunit ribosomal RNA", at positions 207 to 622 of the family's 1533-position model. The record is from RNAcentral.